Molecule: ribosomal RNA, 301 nt
Filed under: uncultured bacterium
Lineage: Bacteria
Description: partial 16S ribosomal RNA
Rfam family: Bacterial small subunit ribosomal RNA
Source: RNAcentral
CAGUAGCCGCGGUAAUACGGAGGGAGCUAGCGUUGUUCGGAAUUACUGGGCGUAAAGCGCACGUAGGCGGUUAUUCAAGUCAGAGGUGAAAGCCCGGGGCUCAACCCCGGAACUGCCUUUGAAACUAGAUGACUUGAAUCUUGGAGAGGUCAGUGGAAUUCCGAGUGUAGAGGUGAAAUUCGUAGAUAUUCGGAAGAACACCAGUGGCGAAGGCGACUGACUGGACAAGUAUUGACGCUGAGGUGCGAAAGCGUGGGGAGCAAACAGGAUUAGAUACCCGGGUAGUCCCUGUCUCUUAUAU